This 253-nucleotide ribosomal RNA is filed under the name uncultured bacterium. Its description in RNAcentral is "partial 16S ribosomal RNA". It matches the Rfam family "Bacterial small subunit ribosomal RNA", at positions 524 to 776 of the family's 1533-position model. The record is from RNAcentral.
UACGGAGGGAGCUAGCGUUGUUCGGAAUCAUUGGGCGUAAAGCGCGUGUAGGUGGCUAGUUAGGUUGGGUGUGAAAUCCCCGGGCUCAACCCAGGAAGUGCACUCAAAACUGGCUGGCUAGAAGAUAGUAGAGGAUGGUGGAAUUCCAAGUGUAGAGGUGAAAUUCGUAGAUAUUUGGAGGAAUACCGGCGGCGAAGGCGGCCAUCUGGGCUAUUCUUGACACUGAGACGCGAAAGCGUGGGUAGCAAACAGG